CGUCCCGAGUAGAAGCAACAGGUUAAAGGAAAAUAUGAAUGUUUUUACAGCCAUAACACCGAAGGAAUUGAUGUAGGAAACACCACUGUAGAAUGUGAUACUAUUUGGGUACUAGAGACUGCAGGGGUUCGUAGAAAUAAAGAUAAAGCGUUGAUAAUGAAUAGAAAAGUGUUGUGUCGUAAAAUAACUCAGGUUGCGCCAUCUCUUAUUAUGCUAAACAAUCAGGACAGAGGUAUUGCGGAUAACUUCUGGAUGUGUGGAAAAAACUAUCUGUUGAAUGUAUUGCCAGAUGGAUGGACUGGUCUUUGUGCCUUAGAGCAAUUCAACAGGUUACCAUUAUUAAAUCACCCCAUGAUGACUAUGUUAACCCUAGAGUUAAAAGGGCGUAUGUGAAAGACCCUGAGGUAUACCUUGAUGCAAUUGGACAGUGUUGGUGUUUACAUACUGGAGAGGGAAUGCAAAACAACGACGCUGGACAGAGUGGAAUCAGGGGCCUGUUGCACAAAAGUAGAAUUAAGACAUCCGGGAUAAAUGACUCAGCUGAGCUCAAUGAAGCCAAAACAUGUGCGUCCAGGCUUAAUUGGUUGCACAAAGACCAAGCCAGGAUGAGCAGACACGGAUUCAUUAAGCCAGGUGAAACCAAUCCUGGAUAGGUGCGCGCUCACGGCUCACUCAAAUAGACCCCGCCACAGAUCACAGAUUAACUGAUUUACCAUGGCAACUAGAGCCGCGUACUUUUCCCCGUCGGAAGCACAAAUCCUCAUGGAGGCAUACGAGGAGGUAAAAUAUAUAAUUAAGAAGAAAGGCAACACCGCCACAGUGAUAAAGCAAAGAGAAAAAGCGUGGCAAAGUAUUGCAGACCGCCUGAAUGCAUUAAACAUGAACGGGCCAAAACGGACAUGGCAGCAGGUCAAAAUCAAAUACAAGAACAUUCUGCAGAAUGCAGUGAAAAAGAAUACCCACAGACAAGGCACGGGUGGUGGGUCACCAAAGGCUGACCUUACCCCAGCAGAGGACAUGGCCUUGGAGCUAAAUAAAGGCAGGCCCGUCUUAGAGGGG
Oncorhynchus nerka (sockeye salmon) is the source of this 1059-nucleotide long non-coding RNA. RefSeq lists it as uncharacterized. Lineage: Eukaryota; Metazoa; Chordata; Actinopteri; Salmoniformes; Salmonidae. The transcript is spliced from 3 exons. The record is from RefSeq and is a predicted model, not a curated record.